This 259-nucleotide ribosomal RNA is filed under the name Enterococcus faecalis. RNAcentral describes it as "partial 16S ribosomal RNA". It matches the Rfam family "Bacterial small subunit ribosomal RNA", at positions 1 to 237 of the family's 1533-position model. Lineage: Bacteria; Bacillati; Bacillota; Bacilli; Lactobacillales; Enterococcaceae. The record is from RNAcentral.
UUAUUAUGAGAGUUUGAUCCUGGCUCAGGACGAACGCUGGCGGCGUGCCUAAUACAUGCAAGUCGAACGCUUCUUUCCUCCCGAGUGCUUGCACUCAUUUGGAAAGAGGAGUGGCGGACGGGUGAGUAACACGUGGGUAACCUACCCAUCAGAGGGGGAUAACACUUGGAAACAGGUGCUAAUACCGCAUAACAGUUUAUGCCGCAUGGCAUAAGAGUGAAAGGCGCUUUCGGGUGUCACUGAUGGAUGGACCCGCGGU